UUUUUUUUUUUUUUUUUUUUAAUGUGCGUAUGUCCGUGCUGAGCCGGAGCCGCCGGAUUGCGACCUGCCUCCCAGGCGCGCUGCCUGCCCCUCUAGGAAGCCCCGGGAAGUUCCCAGCUGAGCUGGCUGCCCUGAAGGAUGGCGGAGCUGGGACAGUCGCAGUACAAGUAUAAUAUUGCAGUGUCAGGAGGACCUUGGCUGACAGCCCAGCAGUGUGGGACAUGUUUGUAGAAGAUGAAGCAGAAGAGAUGACAUGAAAGUUAUUUUUGUCUAUCAGCUGAAGCAUUAUAGAGACAUCAACAAGCUCUUGUCUCAUGCCAGCUUAAUUCCUAGUUAAUCAGCAGUCUGCUUGGGCAAAGGAAGAAAUUCACGUCGGGGCUGCUGAUGAGCCAAACUUCCCGGCGAGGAUUUGGGAGCCUGAGGGAGUCCUGAUCGCUGGUUUAAUGCUAGCUUGGAUGUGCUGCUGCUCACAGUGUGCAGCGUCCCUGAAAGAGUUACAUGCCUUUCUGCGACAAGGAUUCCAUCGCUGCCACAAUUGCAUUCAGCCUUAAGGUCACAAGCAGCUUUUGAGUCCUCUCUGAGAUCUUCCCCAACUGAGCAGGUCCCUCAGGUUGAAUGACUGGGGAGCAGAUCCCAGGACCACCCUGGGGAAUACUGAAGAGCCAGACCAUCUGUGGGGCGACAACUAGGAUCCUUCAUUUUGGAGGAAGGAAAAAAGGUGUCUGGCCCUGGUUUCCUUCUCCCUCUUCAUGUACUGAAGAUGAUCGGUUCCACAUUGCAAUGGAUGCUGUGGUGGGAUAGGACUUUGCUACAUCUCCUUCUCCAUUUUUAAAAAUAUUUUUCCUUCUACCACCUUGUCUUUUUUUGCCUUGAGGAUGUUAUCAAUAAAGAUUACAAUGUGUAA
This is a long non-coding RNA of Alligator sinensis (Chinese alligator), 904 nucleotides long. RefSeq lists it as uncharacterized. NCBI's taxonomy places the organism in Eukaryota, Metazoa, Chordata, Crocodylia, Alligatoridae. The record is from RefSeq and is a predicted model, not a curated record. The transcript has 4 exons.